RNAcentral lists this ribosomal RNA (468 nucleotides) under uncultured bacterium. RNAcentral describes it as "partial 16S ribosomal RNA". It matches the Rfam family "Bacterial small subunit ribosomal RNA", at positions 28 to 507 of the family's 1533-position model. The record is from RNAcentral.
GACGAACGCUGGCGGCGUGCUUAACACAUGCAAGUCGAACGGAAAGGCCCUGCGUUUGUGGUGUGCUCGAGUGGCGAACGGGUGAGUAACACGUGAGUAACCUGCCCUUGACUUUGGGAUAACUUCAGGAAACUGGGGCUAAUACCGGAUAGGAGCUCCUGCUGCAUGGUGGGGGUUGGAAAGUUUCGGCGGUUGGGGAUGGACUCGCGGCUUAUCAGCUUGUUGGUGGGGUAGUGGCUUACCAAGGCUUUGACGGGUAGCCGGCCUGAGAGGGUGACCGGCCACAUUGGGACUGCGAUACGGCCCAGACUCCUACGGGAGGCAGCAGUGGGGAAUAUUGCACAAUGGGCGGAAGCCUGAUGCAGCAACGCCGCGUGCGGGAUGACGGCCUUCGGGUUGUAAACCGCUUUCGCCUGUGACGAAGCGUGAGUGACGGUAAUGGGUAAAGAAGCACCGGCUAACUACGUG